RNAcentral lists this ribosomal RNA (606 nucleotides) under uncultured fungus. RNAcentral's name for it is "eukaryotic LSU rRNA". The stretch from base 215 to 368 matches the Rfam family "5.8S ribosomal RNA". Lineage: Eukaryota; Fungi. The record is from RNAcentral.
AAGUCGUAACAAGGUCUCCGUAGGCGAACCUGCGGAGGGAAUGCGCUCGCCGCUAGUACCCUCCGGGUAGAUCUCCCACCAUGCUCGCUCGUGAUAGAAUUGCUUUGGCGGGCCGCCGAGCCCUGCCCGUCCGCCGGCUCCGGCUGGCGCGAUGCUCGCUGUAGAUGCUCGCUGACUGAAUGUCAGUGUCGUCUGAGUACUAUAUAAUAGUUAAAACUUUCAACAACGGAUCUCUUAUGCUCGCUGAUAGUAGAUGUAGCAGCGAAAUGCGAUAAGUAAUGCGAAUUGCAGAAUUCAGUGAGUCAUCGAAUCUUUGAACGCACAUUGCGCCCUAUGGUAUUCCGCAGGGCAUGCCUGUUCGAGCGUCAUUUCAACCCUCAAGCUCUGCUUGGUGUUGGGCCCUGCCCGCUCGCGGCCGGCCCUAAAGACAGUGGCGGUGCCGUCUGGCUCUAAUGCUCGUGUAGUGGGCCUAGAUAGUGCUCGUAGUAUACUGCAGAACCCCCCAACUCUGUGGUUGACCUCGGAUCAGGUAGGGAUACCCGCUGAACUUAAGCAUAUCAAUAAGCGGAGGAAAAGAAACCAACAGGGAUUGAUGCUGCUCGCUGA